This 913-nucleotide ribosomal RNA is filed under the name Aphanostichopathes spiessi. RNAcentral describes it as "partial 16S ribosomal RNA". It matches the Rfam family "Bacterial large subunit ribosomal RNA", at positions 1837 to 2578 of the family's 2925-position model. Lineage: Eukaryota; Metazoa; Cnidaria; Anthozoa; Antipatharia; Aphanipathidae. The record is from RNAcentral.
GUAGAAGUAUGGAGGGUGAGGCCUGCCCAAUGGUUGUAUCUAAAAGGGUCGGUAAGGGCCGACUACAUAAAGACAAUUGAAUGGCCGCGGUAACACUGACCGUGAUAAUGUAGCGUAAUCAAUAGCCAAUUAAUUGUUGGCCGGUAUGAAUGGCGUCACGAAGGCCCCACUGUCUUAAGAAGACUCCCAGUGAAAUUGAAUUCGUAGUGAAGAUGCUACGUCCAAAUUGUUAGACGAAGAGACCCCAUUGAGCUUUACUGGAAACUUAUGCGGCGGCAAUCUAUUUCGCUUAUAAAGACGGACCUCGACGGGACCUAUUAAGAGCGAGGAGUUUAAACUUAAAUAAAUAGCUAAAAUUUCGUGGCGUUAGGCAUUUCGUCAGGGUCUUGUCCCUCGAUCCUACUCUCAUAGAGAGAUAACCGUUUUAGACCAUCGGCUGAGGCCGAAGGACAAUGGCACCCACCCUUUUAUUUUAAGAGAGCUAACUCUCUUUCAUGGUUUUUUAAUGAUGGGAGGAACGACGUAAGUUAGACAGUUUGGUUGGGGCGACCGCCUUUUAAAAAGUAACGAAGGUGAGCUUAAGGUGCAUAAUUAAUAGCAGUAGCCUGACUGCAAGGGGUACGCCCCAAGCAGACACCAGGAGCCGUUAAGAACCAUCGUCCGACCCGGGCCUUUUGGCCUCCUGGGCGGUUGCUAAUCUGUAACACAGAUUUAGAUACCGAUUCUUAGAGCGGUAGAAGGUGGGCUAUAAUGACCCGUUAAUUUAGAGUGGGAUAGUUAACGAUCAACGGAUAAAAGCUACCAUGGGGAUAACAGCGUUAUAUCGUUCGAGAGCUUUCAUUGACGACGAUGUUUGCGACCUCGAUGUUGAAUUGCAGCAUCCUGGGGUGCAGUCGCUCCCAAGGGUUGGUCU